CUGUAAGCAUAGUUUAACAAAAACAUUAGAUUGUGAGUCUAAC
RNAcentral lists this transfer RNA (43 nucleotides) under Canis lupus (wolf). Its description in RNAcentral is "partial tRNA-His". The record is from RNAcentral. Lineage: Eukaryota; Metazoa; Chordata; Mammalia; Carnivora; Canidae.